AUUGAACGCUGGCGGCGUGCCUAACACAUGCAAGUCGAGCGGUAACAGGUGUAGCAAUACAUGCUGACGAGCGGCGGACGGGUGAGUAACGCUUGGGAAUCUGCCUAUUAGUGGGGGACAACCCGGGGAAACUCGGGCUAAUACCGCAUACGCUCUACGGAGGAAAGCCGGGACCGCAAGGCCUGGCGCUAAUAGAUGAGCCCAAGUCGGAUUAGCUAGUUGGUAGGGAAUGGCCUACCAAGGCGACGAUCCGUAACUGGUCUGAGAGGACGACCAGGUCACACCGGAACUGAGACACGGUCCGGACUCCUACGGGAGGCAGCAGUGGGGAAUAUUGGACAAUGGGCAAAGCCUG
RNAcentral lists this ribosomal RNA (355 nucleotides) under uncultured bacterium. RNAcentral's name for it is "bacterial SSU rRNA". It matches the Rfam family "Bacterial small subunit ribosomal RNA", at positions 30 to 385 of the family's 1533-position model. The record is from RNAcentral.